GCAUAUCAAUAAGCGGAGGAAAAGAAACCAACAGGGAUUGCCCCCAGUAACGGCGAGUGAAGCGGCAACAGCUCAAAUUUGAAAUCUGGCCCUUACGGGUCCGAGUUGUAAUUUGUAGAGGAUGCUUUUGGCAAGGCGCCGCCCGAGUUCCCUGGAACGGGACGCCACAGAGGGUGAGAGCCCCGUCUGGCUGGCCGCCGAGCCUCUGUAAAGCUCCUUCGACGAGUCGAGUAGUUUGGGAAUGCUGCUCAAAAUGGGAGGUAUAUGUCUUCUAAAGCUAAAUAUUGGCCAGAGACCGAUAGCGCACAAGUAGAGUGAUCGAAAGAUGAAAAGCACCUUGAAAAGAGGGUUAAAUAGUACGUGAAAUUGUUGAAAGGGAAGCGCUUGUGACCAGACUUGGGCGCGGCGGAUCAUCCGGGGUUCUCCCCGGUGCACUUCGCCGCGUCCAGGCCAGCAUCAGUUCGUCGCGGGGGAAAAAGGCUUCGGGAACGUGGCUCCCUCGGGAGUGUUAUAGCCCGUUGCGUAAUACCCUGCGGUGGACUGAGGACCGCGCAUCUGCAAGGAUGCUGGCGUAAUGGUCACCAGCGACCCGUCUUGAAACACGGACCAAGGAGUCGUCUUCGUAUGCGAGUGUUCGGGUGUCAAACCCCUACGCGUAAUGAAAGUGAACGCAGGUGAGAGCUUCGGCGCAUCAUCGACCGAUCCUGAUGUUCUCGGAUGGAUUUGAGUAAGAGCAUACGGGGCCGGACCCGAAAGAAGGUGAACUAUGCCUGUAUAGGGUGAAGCCAGAGGAAACUCUGGUGGAGGCUCGCAGCGGUUCUGACGUGCAAAUCGAUCGUCAAAUAUGGGCAUGGGGGCGAAAGACUAAUCGAACCUUCUAGUAGCUGGUUCCGCCGAA
Molecule: ribosomal RNA, 898 nt
Filed under: Trichoderma citrinoviride
Lineage: Eukaryota; Fungi; Ascomycota; Sordariomycetes; Hypocreales; Hypocreaceae
Description: LSU rRNA
Rfam family: Eukaryotic large subunit ribosomal RNA
Source: RNAcentral